UACGUAGGGGGCAAGCGUUGUCCGGAAUUAUUGGGCGUAAAGCGCUCGCAGGCGGUCCUUUAAGUCUGAUGUGAAAGCCCACGGCUCAACCGUGGAGGGUCAUUGGAAACUGAGGGACUUGAGUACAGAAGAGGAAAGCGGAAUUCCACGUGUAGCGGUGAAAUGCGUAGAGAUGUGGAGGAACACCAGUGGCGAAGGCGGCUUUCUGGUCUGUAACUGACGCUGAGGCGCGAAAGCGUGGGGAGCAAACAGG
Molecule: ribosomal RNA, 253 nt
Filed under: uncultured bacterium
Lineage: Bacteria
Description: partial 16S ribosomal RNA
Rfam family: Bacterial small subunit ribosomal RNA
Source: RNAcentral